RNAcentral lists this ribosomal RNA (914 nucleotides) under uncultured archaeon. RNAcentral describes it as "bacterial SSU rRNA". It matches the Rfam family "Archaeal small subunit ribosomal RNA", at positions 1 to 922 of the family's 1478-position model. The record is from RNAcentral.
UUCCGGUUGAUCCCGCCGGAGGUCACUGCUAUCGGGGUUCGAUUAAGCCAUGCGAGUCGAGAGGGUUCAGACCCUCGGCGGACUGCUCAGUAACACGUGGAUAAUCUGCCCUAUGGUGGAGGAUAACCCCGGGAAACUGGGGAUAAUACUCCAUAAGUCAGGAGUACUGGAAUGUCUCCUAACUGAAAGUUUCGGCGCCAUAGGAUGAAUCUGCGGCCGAUUAGGUAGUUGUUGGGGUAACGGCCCAACAAGCCCGUAAUCGGUACGGGUUGUGGGAGCAAGAGCCCGGAGAUGGAAUCUGAGACACGAUUCCAGGCCCUACGGGGCGCAGCAGGCGCGAAAACUUUACAAUGCAGGAAACUGUGAUAAGGGAACCCCGAGUGCCCRUACACGCGGGCUGUCCCGGUGUUUAAMACACAUCGGAAGAAAGGGCCGGGCAAGACCGGUGCCAGCCGCCGCGGUAAUACCGGCGGCUCGAGUGGUGACCACUUUUAUUGGGCUUAAAGCGUUCGUAGCUUGAUUUUUAAGUCUCUUGGGAAAUCUCACGGCUUAACUGUGAGGCGUCUAAGAGAUACUGGGAAUCUAGGGACCGGGAGAGGUAAGAGGUACUUCAGGGGGUAGAAGUGAAAUUCUGUAAUCCUUGAGGGACCACCGAUGGCGAAGGCAUCUUACCAGAACGGCUUCGACAGUGAGGAACGAAAGCUGGGGGAGCGAACGGGAUUAGAUACCCCGGUAGUCCCACCCGUAAACUAUGCGCGUUAGGUGUGCCUGUAACUACGAGUUACCGGGGUGCCGAAGUGAAAACGUGAAACGUGCCGCCUGGGAAGUACGGUCGCAAGGCUGAAACUUAAAGGAAUUGGCGGGGGAGCACCACGACGGGUGGAGCCUGCGGUUUAAUUGGAUUCAACGCCGGG